Molecule: long non-coding RNA, 537 nt
Organism: Cygnus olor (mute swan)
Lineage: Eukaryota; Metazoa; Chordata; Aves; Anseriformes; Anatidae
Exons: 3
Source: RefSeq, a predicted model, not a curated record
AAAUCCACCGAGGCUGACUCAGGAAAUCUAAAUUUUGCUGCUUUCCCAGAUUUCUGAAUCCUGGAAGCAUGGAAAACUCCCUGGUAUCUGAGAUAUGCAAGUAGUCUCCUAGCAUAUGAUGUGAAUACUGACAUCUUAAAUGUUCCAAAAUUUCCUGCUUUUGCCUCUCUUGCUGUUGAUACCAGUGGAAAAGAGCAUAUUCUACACAACUCCAGAAGUUAAGCUUUGUAUUUUAAUGAACUUGCAGUUCUUCCCUUGGAAAUAGAAGAUAUAACACUGAAACUACUACAAAUUCUCAUGUGACUAUUAGAACACCUGGCAGUCAAAUGAAACACUCUCUCAAGAAGGUUGGUUGUACACAAAAUUUCCACAGACACCAAAGGAUCUGUUCCUCCAAACAACUCCUGUUUUCCUGGGUAUCUGUCAACUGGUCGCAUUUGGAGACCCUGGAAGGGUAACGUGCUUUGAAGAUUUUGUUUCCUGCUCAUUGCCUGAAUGGGAAACUGCUGAGUUUCAUCUCCUCCCUGCCACAGUUAA